Long non-coding RNA from Dryobates pubescens (Downy woodpecker), 183 nucleotides. RefSeq lists it as uncharacterized. NCBI's taxonomy places the organism in Eukaryota, Metazoa, Chordata, Aves, Piciformes, Picidae. The record is from RefSeq and is a predicted model, not a curated record. The transcript has 3 exons.
GCAGCCCACCCCCCACGCUUCGACCCCACGGCUUACGUCAGGGCCCAGCAGCGCCGCAGGAAAGAGGCAGAGCUCAGGAACCAGCGGCGCAGCCCAGCCCCAAGCCGUGGCCGCAGCUCCUCAGCUGAGAGCUUUCGGCUGAGCUCUGGCAGUGAAGCUGAUGAAGGCUCCAAGGCCCCCAGG